UCGUCAGGUGGGAUAAUCCUUACGUGUUCCACCUUUUGGAGGGCAGAUUAGAAAAUGAUGACUGGAGUUUGCAUGAUGUGUGAUUAGCAUCUCUGUGUAAUCAGGACUUGCAAGGCUGUGGGGUACAAUUCGGGG
Molecule: small nucleolar RNA, 135 nt
Filed under: Carlito syrichta (Philippine tarsier)
Lineage: Eukaryota; Metazoa; Chordata; Mammalia; Primates; Tarsiidae
Description: U8 small nucleolar RNA (ENSTSYG00000021171.2)
Rfam family: U8 small nucleolar RNA
About the family: U8 is a member of the C/D class of snoRNA which contain the C (UGAUGA) and D (CUGA) box motifs.
Source: Rfam by way of RNAcentral